AUCUCCCCCCGACUGAGUCGAUCCACUGGAGCGUGACUACACCAGGUGGGAGACAGCCACGAAGUGCCAACUCUGAAUGGAAGUGGUCUGACUCAUUUUGUGACGACAUCUUCUCUGAUCGGUGUCUGGGAGCUACGGAGUGAACGCUUUGCAGAGGCUGUCUCCUUUGGGAGUAAUCACAGCAGAUCGCCUGCCUUCAUCUCACCCUAUCCUGAGCAUCCUUUUCUGUCAACUUAUUGUACUUUUCAUAUAUUAACUGAAACAUUAAAGCUAUAUGUUUCUAUCUUGUGAUGUUUUAUUUAUUUGUGUUUAUCCAUCGUCUCUGAUUCAAAUGGUGAAGCCGCAAGAAGUGAUGAUAGAAAAUAGGUCACGGCCAGACAUUUAGAAAAGA
Molecule: long non-coding RNA, 391 nt
Organism: Oreochromis niloticus (Nile tilapia)
Lineage: Eukaryota; Metazoa; Chordata; Actinopteri; Cichliformes; Cichlidae
Exons: 3
Source: RefSeq, a predicted model, not a curated record